This 276-nucleotide ribosomal RNA is filed under the name uncultured prokaryote. Its description in RNAcentral is "partial 16S ribosomal RNA". It matches the Rfam family "Bacterial small subunit ribosomal RNA", at positions 524 to 800 of the family's 1533-position model. The record is from RNAcentral.
UACGUAGGGGGCUAGCGUUAUCCGGAAUUACUGGGCGUAAAGGGUGCGUAGGCGGUCUUUCAAGCCAGAAGUGAAAGGCUACGGCUCAACCGUAGUAAGCUUUUGGAACUGUAAGACUUGAGUGCAGGAGAGGAGAGUGGAAUUCCUAGUGUAGCGGUGAAAUGCGUAGAUAUUAGGAGGAACACCAGUAGCGAAGGCGGCCUGCUGGACAUUUACUGACGCUGAGGCUCGAAAGUGUGGGGAGCAAACAGGAUUAGAUACCCCCGUAGUCCCUGA